This 28-nucleotide non-coding RNA is filed under the name Rattus norvegicus (Norway rat). Lineage: Eukaryota; Metazoa; Chordata; Mammalia; Rodentia; Muridae. The record is from RNAcentral.
UCCCUUGUUUGGGCCUACAUUGGGUACA